RNAcentral lists this unclassified non-coding RNA (147 nucleotides) under uncultured Helotiales. RNAcentral's name for it is "sequence contains ITS2". RNAcentral also lists the same sequence under 1 other name. The record is from RNAcentral. Lineage: Eukaryota; Fungi; Ascomycota; Leotiomycetes; Helotiales.
CAACCCUCAAGCUCUGCUUGGUAUUAGGCUUCACCUGCUACAGGUGGGCCUUAAAAUCAGUGGCGGUGCCAUCUGGCUUCAAGCGUAGUAAUUUUUCUCACUUGGGAGUACCAGUUGUGUGCCUGCUAUAAAACCCCAAUUUUUAAA